UGGAGUCCAGGCGGCUGUUGGGGGCGGGGAGGGGGAGGGCGGGACGCGGCCGGGCAUGAGCGUGGCCUGUUCCGGCGAAGCUAACCGUCGGGACGCCCGUGAUGCAGGAGCGCGCAAAGCGGUUCUGACCGGAAAGCGCUGUGAUGGCACGAGUUUCCGUAGGUUCUGGGCAGCAAUGCCCUGAGAGCCCAGGAGGCCGGCGGGGACCUCGCGCUUCGCCCUCCCUUCGACGCGCACCCCUAGAAAGGUGCAGCCUUGCACCUUUGCUCAGGACCCGACCCACUCUUCGUUCAGGACGGAACCUGGAAGAGCCCACGGCACGCGGGUCGCCCACAGAGCCCGCACCAGGCAGAGUAACGAGCCAAGGGGCCGGUCACCCCCGGCAUCCUGACCCCCGGGGACCCGCGUCCACCCGGGGGCCUAGGAUAGAGCCUUGCUCCCGCUUUUAUGCGGUUUCUAUCCUACAGGGCAACUUCUCCCUGGCAGCCAGCACAGAGCAAAGCUACAGAAGCAAAGACAGAGAUUAGCGGGAAAUGAGAAGUGAUCAAGGCCACAGGGCCUUGACACCCGCCUUUCCACAUCAGCCGGCCCAGCUGAGUUCACCCGCCGUAGGAAUAUGGGGCCAUCAGAGCCAGGAUCUCUUCUGGGACCACAGCUGCUAGGGACUUACCAAAGUGGCUCAGCUGUAGUCACCCCCUAGCCAUCCUGCUUCACCCCUGGAGUGGCCUCCUCUCCGUUUCUGUAGAAAUGGCUCACUGAACCAAGGAACCAAGGUCCUUCUUGUCUCAAACGAAAAAUUGGGCAAGGCAAACCAAAAAGGGUGCCAAAUGUUUAUUUCAAAGGCCCCUCCAGGUACAAGAUUCUGGGCACUGGUCUGUGAAAUAAGCAUUUUAGAUGUAACACCAAAAGCUCUGGCUACAGGAGUGGAAACAGUGGUGCUUCGUGAGACCAGUAAGCGUCUGUCCCACAGAGGAGGGAACUGGAGGACAGAGCAACCUGCAGAAUUAGGAAACAGGUUUGGAAUUUAUAGACUGUGUAUAAGGUGAAUGAUAGGUCUUGCCAGCCUGGGACUCAGCUGUCUGUAACAUGACAUCUGCCCAGUUUGGUACCUGACCCAGAGAAACAACUGAUCCCUCCAAGGGAUAAUAAACCUCUUGCUUCCUUUCUGCACUGAGUCCUCUCCAAUCCCACACCUCCACAACCCCCCAAAGCCUUCUUUCUGUCUCUUGUCUUACACAAGUUAAUAUGUCAUCUUGCCCACCUCUCAAACUCCUCCUCCAGCCAGACCUGUAAAAGUAGCCCCACUUGUUUGUUCUCCUUUGAGAGCUUCUGUCCUCCCUGCCCUGUGAAGCAUUACAGGCCUCCUCCUUUGUCUCCUUCUUAUCUCUCAUUUUUCUCUGUGCUGUUUUGAUUCAGAUUGAGUGCCAGAAAUAUUCAAUCAGUUGAUAUCUAAAAGAUACAAGGGGCUCCUAUAAAUCAACAGCAACAAAACAAAGCACGCAUAGGAAAUGUGUGUUUUUUACAGGCUGUCAAAAUGGCUCCUUCCUCUAACCUAUUGGCACAUUUUAGAUAAGCAUAAUGAUAACAUUCUGCAUGGGGAACUUGUACCUGUAUAUAACAUAUCUUGCUUCUAUUUUUUUUCUCAUUUCCCUCCCUUUAGCCUCCUUCUAGUCCUUAUUCAAAAAAACUUUGUGUUUUUUUUCCCUUUCCCCUUCUUUUCUUUCCCUCUUCCCCUCACUGUUCCCCUUCUCAUUUGAACAUUUUCUUCCCCUUUCCCAUUAUCUAUUAUACAGUUAACACUCCUUUGGUUUUAUUUGUUUGUUUGGAGACAACAAGGUCUUUUUGUGUAGGCCAGGGUGGCCUUGAACUCACUACUUAAUCUGGGCUGGCCUCCAAUUUGUGGUGAUUCUCCUGCUUCAGCCUCCUGAGUACUAGGAUUACUGGAGUGUACUACUGUGCUUGGCUAUUUUUAAUGCUCUUAAUCACCAGGAAGAUGCAAAUCAAAGUCAGUUCUGGAGAUGUAACUGAAAGUAAUGUGAUCACAGCUAACGCUGCUUUGAUGACAUAACUUCAAUUUUCUAAUUCAGAAGUCUCGUCGCAGCUCCUACCAGGAGUCCCAGCUACUUGGGAGACUGAGGCAGAAGGACCACAUAUUCAGGCCACCCUGGACAACAGCGAGAUCCUUUCUCAAAACAAAGAUUAACGUGUCUGGGACGAAGUUCAGCAGUACAGAGUGUGUUUCUACCAUGUGUGCCAAGGCGCUGGGUUCUACCCUGGGAGCUGCCGAAAACAAUUAAGCCGAAGCUGUGUGUACUAUUCUUUCUGGAGGAAGCCCGCUUUUUUUUUGGUCCUUUUUUUCUUUUUGAGACUGUCUCAUUAUGCAGGCUUUCAACUCACAGGGAUCCUCCUGCCUCGGCCUCCUGAGUGCUGGGAUUACAGGUGUGUGUCACCAUGCCAAGUAUGAAACCUUUUUAAAGAAUUUGCACUUUGAAACAGGGUCUUGCUAAAUUGCCCUGGCUGGGCUCAAAUUUGUGAUCUUCCUAUCUUAACUCCCCAAAGUGCUGGGAUUACAGGCAGGUGCCAUAAACCCCAGCUAAAAUUAGUGAUUAUUUUUAGGUAAGUGAUUUUUAAAGUCAACUAAAAGGCAAGGAAGUUAAAGUAAAUUAAACAGUUUAAUAAUUAAAGAUUAAAAUAAAAUAUAGACAGUAGAAAGCCAGGUGAUAGAUCUUUUGGAAAAAGAACAGAGAUCAAGAGACAGAGGGAAGGGGAGAGAAAGGACAGGUCAAAAGAAUCAGAAUGUAUGGUGUACAGGAAUCAGCUUCUCGCGGUGAAUCCGAAGUGCUAUAGGUAGACACGCACCAGUGAAAUAAAAAUUUGGAAGGAAAAAAUGGGUAAAACACCCAAACAUGCAGGAUGUCCUCAGUGUGAUAGUUUAGGCGUAAGAGGUAGUAUAAAUUGGUGUAAAUGAUUCAAUCUCUAUAAGCCGAAGAAAAAGAA
This is a long non-coding RNA of Cavia porcellus (domestic guinea pig), 2997 nucleotides long. RefSeq lists it as uncharacterized. The transcript has 2 exons. Lineage: Eukaryota; Metazoa; Chordata; Mammalia; Rodentia; Caviidae. The record is from RefSeq and is a predicted model, not a curated record.